This 588-nucleotide ribosomal RNA is filed under the name uncultured bacterium. Its description in RNAcentral is "partial 16S ribosomal RNA". It matches the Rfam family "Bacterial small subunit ribosomal RNA", at positions 355 to 941 of the family's 1533-position model. The record is from RNAcentral.
UGGGGAAUUUUGGACAAUGGGGGAAACCCUGAUCCAGCCAUCCCGCGUGUGCGAUGAAGGCCUUCGGGUUGUAAAGCACUUUUGGCAGGAAAGAAACGUCGCGGGUUAAUACCCCGCGGAACUGACGGUACCUGCAGAAUAAGCACCGGCUAACUACGUGCCAGCAGCCGCGGUAAUACGUAGGGUGCAAGCGUUAAUCGGAAUUACUGGGUGUAAAGCGUGCGCAGGCGGUUCGGAAAGAAAGAUGUGAAAUCCCAGAGCUUAACUUUGGAACUGCAUUUUUAACUACCGGGCUAGAGUGUGUCAGAGGGAGGUGGAAUUCCGCGUGUAGCAGUGAAAUGCGUAGAUAUGCGGAGGAACACCGAUGGCGAAGGCAGCCUCCUGGGAUAACACUGACGCUCAUGCACGAAAGCGUGGGGAGCAAACAGGAUUAGAUAGCCUGGUAGUCCACGCCCUAAACGAUGUCAACUAGCUGUUGGGGGUCUUCGGACCUUGGUAGCGCAGCUAACGCGUGAAGUUGACCGCCUGGGGAGUACGGUCGCAAGAUUAAAACUUAAAUGAAUUGACGGGGGUCAUAGCUGUUUCCUG